GAGGAUGACACUGGUGACUGCAAUGACAUGCUGUCAUUUUGUCCCCAGAACCCCUUGUUCAAAUAAUGCCAAGAGUCUCCAUGUGGGCAGGACAUAUAGAGCUUUCUAGAAUUGGCUGCAUCAGCUUUUGCCCUUUGAGAAGAUGCUGCAUUUGAGGCAUGGACCAUUGCAAGUCGCCAACAGGAAAGUUAAAGAAUAGAACUGCACCCUGUGGUGUAGUAUGAAUGUGUAAUAUAGAAUCUUAUUAUGUAUAAUAAAGACUAUGCAAAUAAAAUAUAGGAAAGGUUUAUCGCAAAAAAAAGAAGCGCUGUGCAAUCUAUGAUGUAUGAGUAGGCGUGAAUACUGACGUGAUAAGUAGGCGGGGCUAAAGGCCCGGCCAGCCCUUGAGGGCAAGGUGGGUUUGGGAGGACCACAGGCACAGCAGCUGUUUGUCAGGCAUUGCAUAAUGACACCAUCUGGCUGUGGACACCACACUUUAGGAUGCCACAGGAAGGAGCAGGCACCCUUGCCUUGAAGGCUCAGAACCAAAGGGGCUGUGCUGAAAUAUUUCAUUCCAGAGAUGGGCGAUGUACUUAAGUGAACAGAGGAGGAGCCUAGAGAGAGUAGACACUUUCUUUGCUUCCUGCUUGAUGGAUUUGGAGAAUGGAUCCCAUCUGAAAGAGCAAUACAGAGCUAUCCAACUGAACCUGAACUCACCACAGAGGACAGUACCCUUGGACCCUAGAGCAACAGAGGAAAUUGAAUGCCUUUCCUGUCAAACACGUUAUCCAAAAAGCUACACUAAAAGGUAAAAUCUUAACACAGCGCUCAAAGGAGGAUAUGGGAAUUCCUUUGAUUAGUGUCAACAAUACAGUGUCCCUGUGUAGCUGGUGUACUAAGAGGAGGUCUCCACACAGAUGACAUUUUAUAGUUCAAAUGAGAAGCAAGUAUCCAGCUUUAUAGACCUGAGGAAAAUCGAUAGAUUUGCAGUUGGCUGAAGAGAUAGUAGAUUUAUGCAUUUAACAAACAUGAUGAUGGCUUGAGGAAUACAGAAGAUUUCUUUGUACUAAAAUAUAUUGAGUUGGGCCUGGUGGCACAUGCACUCUGGACACAGAGGGAGAUGAGUCUCUGUGAGUUCAAGGCCAGCCUGGUCUACAGAGAAGAUUCCAGGACAGCUAGGGCUGCACAGAAAAACCC
RNAcentral lists this long non-coding RNA (1176 nucleotides) under Mus spicilegus (steppe mouse). RNAcentral's name for it is "lncRNA (ENSMSIG00000008805.1)". Lineage: Eukaryota; Metazoa; Chordata; Mammalia; Rodentia; Muridae. The record is from RNAcentral.